AUAUUUAAAGGCUUGGAGAUAUGUUUUUGAGAAGUCUUGGGCCUAGACAUUACUAUUAGCACGGUACGUCCAAUCAAAUCCGAUAGUCAAUAGCAUUAGUCCUCGCAAAACAAAACAAAUGCAAAACAAUCACUGCUCAUUACUCAAAAAUUCCAAUCAGCAUACAUUGAAAAAGCAUUAACUAAUAAUACCUAAUUAACUUGAGUUUGAAAUCAAACCCGAUAAUCAAUAGCUAUAAUCCUCGCAAAACAAAACGAAUAGAAAAUAGUCACUAGUUAUUACUCAAAAGUUCUAAUCAGAAAAAUUUGAAAUAAACAAACUACAACAUAUGGCAUUGUCUAAUAAUAUCUAAUUAACUUGAUCUUGAAAUUGAACCCGGGAAACUUCAAGUUCAAGUUAAUUACGACCCAAGACAAAUAUACAAAAUUUAAAACAAUCGUUACAUACCUAAAUAUUUAAAGGCUUGGCGAUAUGUUUUUGACAAGUCCUGGUCCCUGGGCAUCGCUAUUAGCGGGGUACGUCCAAUCAAGUUCGAUAGUCAAUAGCUAUAAUCCUCGCAAAACAAAACGAAUAGAAAAUAGUUACUAGUUUACUCAAAAGUUCUAAUCAGAAAAAUGAAAUAGGCCAACUACAACAUAUGGCAUAUCUAAUAAUACAUAAUAACUGAGAUUAAAAUUGAACCUGGAAAAAAACUUCAGUUCAAGUUAAUGACGGCCCAAGACAAAUAUAAAACAAUAGGUAUAAAAAACCAAUCGUUAUCGUACCUUAAAUAUUUAAAGGCUUGGAGAUAUGUUUUUGAGAAGUCUGGGGCCAUAGACAUCACUAGUAGGCCGGACGUACGUCCAAUCAAAUCCGAUAGUCAACAGAAGCCUCGCCAAAACAAAACAAAUGCAAAAACAAUCACGGCUCAUUACUCAAAAAUUUUCAAUCAGCACCAAUUGAAAAAAGCAUUAACUAAUAAUACCUACUUGACUUUGAUCGAAAUCAAACCCCAUAAUAAUAGCAAUAAUCCUCGCAAAACAAAACGAUAAAAACAGCACUACUUUUACUAAAAGUUCAAAUCUAGAAAAUUUGACGAAAUAGACAAAACUACACAUAUGGCAUUGUCUAAUAAUACCUAAUUAACUUGACCUGAAUGAAUUUGAACCCGGAAGGAAAACUUCAAGUUCAAGUAAUUACGGGCCCAGACAAAAUAUAAAAAAAAUUAAAAACAAUCUUACGUACCUAAAAUUUAAAGCUUGGAGAUAUGUUUGAGAAGUCUUGGGCCCUAGAACAUCACUAGUAGCACGGUACGUCCAAUCAAAAUCAGAUAGUCAACAGAGUCUCGCACAAAACAAAAACAAAUUGCAAACACCACUGCCAUACUCAAAUUUGCAAUCAGGCACACCAUGUGAAAAAGCAUUAACUAAUAAUACCUAAUUGACUUUUGAUCGAAAUCAAACCCGAUAAUAAUAGCAAUAAUCCUCGCAAAACAAAACGAAUAGAAAACAGUCACUAGUUAUUACUUAAAAGUUCAAAUCAGAAAAUUUUGAAAUAGACAAACUACAACAUAUGGCAUUGUCUAAUAAUACCUAAUUAACUUGACCUUGAAAUUGAACCCGGAAAACUUCAAGUUCAAGUUAAUUACGGCCCAAAGACAAAUAUAAAAAAUUAAAAACCAAUCGUUUUAGUUUACGCAAAAUAUUUAAAGCUUGGAGAUAUGUUUUUUGAGAAGUCUUGGCCUUAGGGACAUCACUAUUAGCAAGGUACGUCCAAUCAAAUCCGAUAGUCAAUCAGCAUUUAGUCCUCGCCAAAACAAAAAAAUGCAAAACAGUCACUACUCAUAAUCAAAAAUUCCAAUCGCAUACAUUGAAAAAGCAUUAACUAACAAUACCUAAGUAACUGAGUUUGAAAUCUCAAACACGAUGGGAAUCAUAGCAAUAUCUCGGCAAAACAAAACGAAUAGAAAAGUCAUAGUUAUUACUCAAAAAUUCUAAUAAGAAAAAUUUUGAAAUAAACAAACUACAACAAUGGCAUUGUCGAAUAAAAAAAUAUCUAAAUUAACCUGAUCUUGAAAUUGAACCCGGGAAGGAAACUUCAAGUUCAAGGUUAAAAUUACGACCCAAAGACAAAAAUACAAAAUUUAAAACAAUCGUUACAUACCUAAAUAUUAAAGGGGGGGGGGGGGGGGGGGGGGACUUGGCGAAAUUUUGACAAGUCCUGGUCCCUGCGGGCAAUCGCUCUUAGCGGGGUACGUCAAUAAAGUUCGAUAGUCAAUAGGCUUUGUCCUCGCAAAACAAAACAAAAGCAAACAGCCACUGCUCAUUACUCAAAAAUUUCAAUCAGUUACAUUGAAAAAGUAUUAACAAAUAAUACCUAAUUGACUUUAGAUCGAAAUCAAACCCGAUAAUAAUAGCAAUAAUCCUCGCAAAACAAAACGAAUAGAAAAUAGUCACUAGUUAUUACUCAAAAAUUCUAAUCAGAAAAAUUUGAAUAGACAAACAAACAUAUGGCUUGUAUAAUAAAUCUAAUUAACGAUCUUGAAAUUGAACCCGGGAAACUGCAGCUUCAGUUAUACGACCAAGGACAAAUAUACAAAAUUUAAAACAAUCGUUACAUACCUAAAUAUUUAAAGCUUGGCGAUAUGUUUUCGACAAGUAUGGUCCUAGGAUCGCAUUAGCGGGUACGUCCAAUCAAGUUGUAGGCAAUAGCAUUUGUCUCGCAAAACAAAACAAAGCAAAACAGUCACGCCUCAUUACUAAAAAAAUUUCAAUCAGCAUACAUUGAAAAGUAUAACAAAUAAUACCUAAUGUGAAUUAGUCGAAAUCAACCCGAUAAUAAUAGAAAUAAAAUUCUCGCAAAACAAAACGAAUAGAAACAUUCACUAGAGUUAUCACUCAAAAGUACAAAUCAGAAAAUUUUGAAAAUUGAAAUAGACAGAACAUACAACAUAGGCAUUGUCUUAAUAAUACCUAAUUAACUUGACCUGGAAAUUGACCGGGAAACUUCAAGUUCAAGUUAAUACAGGCCCAAGACAAAUAUAAAAAAUUAAAAACAUAGUUAAGUACUCAAUAUUUGAAGAUUGGAGAUAUGUUUGAGAAGUCUGGGCCUAGACAUCACUAUUAGCACGGUACGUCCAAUCCAAAUACGAAGUAAAUAGCAUUAGUCCUCGCAAAACAAAACAAAUGUAAACAAUCACUGCUCAUUACUCAAAAUUUCGAAUCAGCCACACAUUGAAAAAGUCAUUUUAAAAUAAUAAACCUAAUUGACUUUAGACGAAAGCAACCCGAUAAUAAUAGCAAUAAUCUCGCAAAACAAAACGAAUAGAAAACAGUCAUAGUUAUUACUCAAAAAUUCUAAUAGAAAAAUUUGAAAUAGACAACCAGACAGAAUAUUGGCUUGUCUAAUAAUACUAUAACUUGAGUUGAAAUGGAACCCGGAAAACUUCAAGUUCAAUUAAUUACGGACCAAGACAAAUCUAAAAAAAUUAAAAAAACCAAUCGUACGUUACCUAACUAUUUAACGGCUUGGAGAUUCAUUGUUUUUGACGAAAGUCUUUGGGCCUAGACAUCACUAUUCGCACGGUACGUCCAAUCAAAUCCGAUAGGUCAAUAGAUCCUCGCAACAAACAAAACAAUACAAAACAUAACUGUCAUAUCAAAAUUUCAAUCAGCACACCUUGAAAAGCAUUAACUAAUAAUAACUAAUUGACUUUAGAUCGAAAUCAAACCGAUAAUAAUAGCAAUAAUCCUACGCAAAACCAAAACGAAUAUAGAAAACAGUCACAGAGCACUAGUUAUACUGUUCAAAAGUUCAAAUCAGAAAAAUUUGAAAUAGACAAACUACAACAUAUGGCAUUGUCUAAUAAUACCUAAUUAACUUGAUCUUGAAAUUGAACCCGGGAAACUUCAAGUUCAAGUUAAUUACGACCCAAGACAAAUACACAAAAUUUAAAACAAUCGUUACGUACCACAAUAUUUAAAGGCAUGGCGAUAUGUUUUUGACAAGUCCUGGGCCCUAGGCAUCGCUAUUAGCGGGGUACGUCCAAUCAAGUUCGAUAGUCAAUAGCAUUUGUCCUCGCAAAACAAAGCAAAUGCAAAACAUGCACUGCUCAUUACUCAAAUUAAUCAGCGACAUGAAAAAGUAUUAACUAAUAAUACCUAAUUAACUUUAGUUGAAACCAAACCCAGAUAAUAAUCAAUAGCCAAUAAUCUCGCCAAAACAAAAACGAUAGAAAACAGUACACUAGUUAUUACUCAAAAAUUCUAAAGCAGAAAAAUUAAACUAAAAUAGACCAACUACAACAUAUGGACAUUGUCUAAUAAUACCUAAUUAACUUGCUUGAAAUUAAACCGGGAACUUCAAGUUCAAGUAAUUAAGGCCCCCAAAACAAAUACAAAACAAUCAAUGACCUCAUUACUCAAAGAUUCCAAUCAGCAUACAUUGAAAAAGCAUUAACUAAUAUACUAAUUGACUUUCGAUUGAAAUCAAACCCGAUAAUACUAGCAAUAAUCCUCGCAAAACAAAACGAAUUAGAAAACAGUCGUCACUAGUUAUUACUCCAAAGUACAAAAAAUCAGGAAAAUUUUGAAAUAGACAAACUUACAACAGAUGGCAUUGCUAAUAAACCUAAUUAACUUGAUCUUUGAAAAUGCACCCGGGAGGAAACGGAAAACUUCACGUUCAAGUUAAUUACGAACCAGAGACAAAAUAUUUUGGUUUAACAAAAAUUUAAAACAAUCGUUACGUACCACAAUAUUAAGCAAUAACACACCACACAUGGCGAUUAUAUGUUUGAACAAGUCCUGCGCCCUAGGCAUCGCUAUUAGCGGGGUACGUCCAAGCAAGUGACGAUAUCAUAGCAUUUGUUCGCGCCAAAACAAAGCAAAAUGACGCAAAAAAACUGCACAACUGCGCUCAUUACUCAAAAAUUUCAAUCAGCAUACAUUGAAAAAGUAUUAACUAAUAAUACCUAAUUAACUUUAGUUUGAAACCAAACCCGAUAAUCAAUAGCAAUAAUCCUCGCAAAACAAAACGAAUAGAAAACAGUCACUAGUUAUUACUCAAAAAUUCUAAGAAGAAAAAUUUGAAAUAGACAAACUACAACAUAUGGCAUUGUCUAAUAAUACCUAAUUAACUUGAUCUUGAAAUUGAACCCGGGAGGGAAUUCACGUUCAAGUUAAUUAUAACCCAAGACAAUAUAACCAAUUUUAAAACAUCGUACUACCUAAAUAUUUAAAUGCUUUGGCGAUAUGUUUUUGACAGUCCUGGUCCCUGGGCAUCGCUAUUAGCGGGGUACGUCCAAUCAAGUUCGAUAGUCAAUAGCUAUAAUCCUCCGCAAAACAAACGAACAGAAAAUAGUUACUAGUUAUACUCAAAAGUUCUAAUAUCAGAAAAAUUUGAAAUAUACAACUACAACAUAUGCAAUUAUGUAUAAUCCUCAUUACUGAGCUGGAAAUUGAACCUGGAAACCUUCAAGUUCAAGUUAAUUACGGCCCAAGAAAAAUAUAAAAAAUUAAAAACAAUCGUUACGUACCUAAAUAUUUAAAGGCUUGGAGAUAUGUUUUGAGAAGUCUUGGGCCUAGACAUCACUAUUAGCACGGUACGUCCAAUCAAAUCCGAUAGUCAACAGAGUCCUCGCAAAACAAAACAAAUGCAAAACAAUCACUGCUCAUUACUCAAAAUUUUCAAUCAUCACACAUUGAAAAAGCAUUAACUAAUAAUACCUAAUUGACUUUUGAUCGAAAUCAAACCCGAUAAUAAUAGCAAUAAUCCUCGCAAAACAGAAACGAUAGAAACAGUCACCAGUUAUUACUUAAAGUUAAUAGAAAAUUUUGAAAUGACAAAUGGCAUUGUCUAAUAAUACCUAAUUAAACUUGACUUGAAAUUGACCCCGUACAAACACCAUUCAGUUCAAGUUAAUUACGGCCCAAGUCAAAUAUAAAAAGUUAAAAACAAUCGUUACGUAC
Molecule: long non-coding RNA, 5948 nt
Filed under: Actinidia chinensis (golden kiwifruit)
Lineage: Eukaryota; Viridiplantae; Streptophyta; Magnoliopsida; Ericales; Actinidiaceae
Description: long non-coding RNA (ACHI_LNC000772)
Source: RNAcentral